This 492-nucleotide ribosomal RNA is filed under the name uncultured bacterium. RNAcentral describes it as "partial 16S ribosomal RNA". It matches the Rfam family "Bacterial small subunit ribosomal RNA", at positions 29 to 507 of the family's 1533-position model. The record is from RNAcentral.
AGUGAACGCUGGCGGUAGGCCUAACACAUGCAAGUCGAACGGCAGCACAGUAAGAGCUUGCUCUUACGGGUGGCGAGUGGCGGACGGGUGAGGAAUACAUCGGAAUCUACUUUUUCGUGGGGGAUAACGUAGGGAAACUUACGCUAAUACCGCAUACGACCUACGGGUGAAAGCAGUGGAUCUUCGGACCUUGCGCGAUUGAAUUAGCCGAUGUCGGAUUAGCUAGUUGGCUGGGUAAAGGCCCACCAAGGCGACGAUCCGUAGCUGGUCUGAGAGGAUGAUCAGCCACACUGGAACUGAGACACGGUCCAGACUCCUACGGGAGGCAGCAGUGGGGAAUAUUGGACAAUGGGCGCAAGCCUGAUCCAGCCAUACCGCGUGAGUGAAGAAGGCCUUCGGGUUGUAAAGCCCUGUUGUUGGGAAAGAAAAGCAGCAGGUUAAUACCCCGAUGUUCUGACGGUACCCAAAGAAUAAGCACCGGCUAACUUCGUG